GGUAUCCUUUAGAGAUAGAGGAGUGCUCGAAAGAGAACCUGCACACAGGUGCUGCAUGGCUGUCGUCAGCUCGUGUCGUGAGAUGUUGGGUUAAGUCCCGCAACGAGCGCAACCCUUGCCAUUAGUUGCUACGAAAGGGCACUCUAAUGGGACUGCCGGUGACAAACCGGAGGAAGGUGGGGAUGACGUCAAGUCCUCAUGGCCCUUAUAGGUGGGGCUACACACGUCAUACAAUGGCUGGUACAAAGGGUUGCCAACCCGCGAGGGGGAGCUAAUCCCAUAAAGCCAGUCGUAGUCCGGAUCGCAGUCUGCAACUCGACUGCGUGAAGUCGGAAUCGCUAGUAAUCGUGGAUCAGCAUGUCACGGUGAAUACGUUCCCGGGUCUUGUACACACCG
This 396-nucleotide ribosomal RNA is filed under the name uncultured bacterium. RNAcentral's name for it is "bacterial SSU rRNA". It matches the Rfam family "Bacterial small subunit ribosomal RNA", at positions 992 to 1392 of the family's 1533-position model. The record is from RNAcentral.